Molecule: ribosomal RNA, 433 nt
Filed under: uncultured bacterium
Lineage: Bacteria
Description: partial 16S ribosomal RNA
Rfam family: Bacterial small subunit ribosomal RNA
Source: RNAcentral
AACGAACGCUGGCGGCAUGCCUAACACAUGCAAGUCGAACGAGACCUUCGGGUUUAGUGGCGCACGGGAGCGUAACGCGUGGGAACCUGCCCUUAGGUUCGGAAUAACUCCCCGAAAGGGGUGCUAAUACCGGAUAAUGUCUUCGGACCAAAGAUUUAUCGCCUUUGGAUGGGCCCGCGUUGGAUUAGCUAGUUGGUAGGGUAAAAGCCUACCAAGGCGACGAUCCAUAGCUGGUCUGAGAGGAUGAUCAGCCACACUGGGACUGAGACACGGCCCAGACUCCUACGGGAGGCAGCAGUGGGGAAUAUUGGACAAUGGGCGAAAGCCUGAUCCAGCAAUGCCGCGUGAGUGAUGAAGGCCUUAGGGUUGUAAAGCUCUUUUACCCGGGAUGAUAAUGACAGUACCGGGAGAAUAAGCUCCGGCUAACUCCGUG